Zonotrichia albicollis (white-throated sparrow) is the source of this 342-nucleotide non-coding RNA. NCBI's taxonomy places the organism in Eukaryota, Metazoa, Chordata, Aves, Passeriformes, Passerellidae. The record is from RefSeq and is a predicted model, not a curated record.
CCUGGAGAUCCGGCAGGCGCUGCCUGCACAUUCUGGCCGCUACACCUGCACGGCCCAGAGCGCCGCGGGCACGGCCCGCAAGCACCUCUGGCUCACGGUGCACGAGCCCCCUGCCUUGAAGCCCCUGCCCGGCAUGGUGAUGGUGAUGGUCAAUGCCAGCGUGGUGCUGUCCUGCGAGGCCACAGGCAUCCCCCGGCCGGAGGUCACCUGGCAAAAGGAUGGUGUUGGCAUCACUGGAGGCUCUGGGCUGAAGGUGCUCCCCAGAGGGCAGCUCCGGCUCCUCCGAGCAGCCCCAGAGGACGCCGGCACCUACCUGUGCAUGGCCCGGAACCCCUCGGGCAC